RNAcentral lists this small nucleolar RNA (92 nucleotides) under Olea europaea subsp. europaea. RNAcentral's name for it is "Plant small nucleolar RNA SNOR75". It matches the Rfam family "Plant small nucleolar RNA SNOR75". From Rfam's summary of the family: U15 is a member of the C/D class of snoRNA which contain the C (UGAUGA) and D (CUGA) box motifs. Lineage: Eukaryota; Viridiplantae; Streptophyta; Magnoliopsida; Lamiales; Oleaceae. The record is from Rfam by way of RNAcentral.
UCUCAGGGAUGAAUAAAUUACGAUGAUGAGUCCGAUUAAAAUCCAUUCAAUUAAAAAUCGUGACAACAAAUCGAGGCAUUUGUUUGAGACGA